GAGUAAUGUCUGGGAAACUGCCUGAUGGAGGGGGAUAACUACUGGAAACGGUAGCUAAUACCGCAUAACGUCGCAAGACCAAAGAGGGGGACCUUCGGGCCUCUUGCCAUCGGAUGUGCCCAGAUGGGAUUAGCUAGUAGGUGGGGUAACGGCUCACCUAGGCGACGAUCCCUAGCUGGUCUGAGAGGAUGACCAGCCACACUGGAACUGAGACACGGUCCAGACUCCUACGGGAGGCAGCAGUGGGGAAUAUUGCACAAUGGGCGCAAGCCUGAUGCAGCCAUGCCGCGUGUAUGAAGAAGGCCUUCGGGUUGUAAAGUACUUUCAGCGGGGAGGAAGGGAGUAAAGUUAAUACCUUUGCUCAUUGACGUUACCCGCAGAAGAAGCACCGGCUAACUCCGUGCCAGCAG
This 410-nucleotide ribosomal RNA is filed under the name Escherichia coli. RNAcentral's name for it is "bacterial SSU rRNA". It matches the Rfam family "Bacterial small subunit ribosomal RNA", at positions 108 to 514 of the family's 1533-position model. The record is from RNAcentral. Lineage: Bacteria; Pseudomonadati; Pseudomonadota; Gammaproteobacteria; Enterobacterales; Enterobacteriaceae.